This 911-nucleotide ribosomal RNA is filed under the name uncultured Xylanimonas sp. Its description in RNAcentral is "bacterial SSU rRNA". It matches the Rfam family "Bacterial small subunit ribosomal RNA", at positions 9 to 929 of the family's 1533-position model. Lineage: Bacteria; Bacillati; Actinomycetota; Actinomycetes; Micrococcales; Promicromonosporaceae. The record is from RNAcentral.
GAGUUUGAUCCUGGCUCAGGACGAACGCUGGCGGCGUGCUUAACACAUGCAAGUCGAACGGUGAUCAUCAAGCUUGCUUGGUGUGAUCAGUGGCGAACGGGUGAGUAACACGUGAGCAACCUGCCCUCCACUUCGGGAUAAGCCUUGGAAACGGGGUCUAAUACCGGAUAUGAGCUGCUGCCGCAUGGUGGUGGUUGGAAAGGUUUAUUGGUGGGGGAUGGGCUCGCGGCCUAUCAGCUUGUUGGUGGGGUAAUGGCCUACCAAGGCGUCGACGGGUAGCCGGCCUGAGAGGGCGAUCGGCCACACUGGGACUGAGACACGGCCCAGACUCCUACGGGAGGCAGCAGUGGGGAAUAUUGCACAAUGGGCGGAAGCCUGAUGCAGCGACGCCGCGUGGAGGAUGACGGCCUUCGGGUUGUAAACUCCUUUCAGCAGGGAAGAAGCGCGAGUGACGGUACCUGCAGAAGAAGCACCGGCUAACUACGUGCCAGCAGCCGCGGUAAUACGUAGGGUGCAAGCGUUGUCCGGAAUUAUUGGGCGUAAAGAGCUCGUAGGUGGUCUGUCGCGUCUGGUGUGAAAACUUGAGGCUCAACCUCAAGCCUGCACCGGGUACGGGCAGACUAGAGUACUGUAGGGGAGACUGGAAUUCCUGGUGUAGCGGCGGAAUGCGCAGAUAUCAGGAGGAACACCGAUGGCGAAGGCAGGUCUCUGGGCAGUUACUGACGCUGAGGAGCGAAAGCAUGGGGAGCGAACAGGAUUAGAUACCCUGGUAGUCCAUGCCGUAAACGUUGGGCACUAGGUGUGGGGGCCAUUCCACGGUUCCCGUGCCGCAGCUAACGCAUUAAGUGCCCCGCCUGGGGAGUACGGCCGCAAGGCUAAAACUCAAAGGAAUUGACGGGGGCCCGCACAAG